Molecule: ribosomal RNA, 446 nt
Filed under: uncultured bacterium
Lineage: Bacteria
Description: partial 16S ribosomal RNA
Rfam family: Bacterial small subunit ribosomal RNA
Source: RNAcentral
CCUACGGGAGGCAGCAGUCGAGAAUCAUUCACAAUGGGGGAAACCCUGAUGGUGCGACGCCGCGUGGGGGAAUGAAGGUCUUCGGAUUGUAAACCCCUGUCAUGUGGGAGCAAAUUAAAAAGAUAGUACCACAAGAGGAAGAGACGGCUAACUCUGUGCCAGCAGCCGCGGUAAUACAGAGGUCUCAAGCGUUGUUCGGAAUCACUGGGCGUAAAGCGUGCGUAGGCUGUUUCGUAAGUCGGGUGUGAAAGGCGCGGGCUCAACCCGCGGACGGCACAUGAUACUGCGAGACUAGAGUAAUGGAGGGGGAACCGGAAUUCGCGGUGUAGCAGUGAAAUGCGUAGAUAUCGAGAGGAACACUCGUGGCGAAGGCGGGUUCCUAGACAGUAACUGACGCUGAGGCACGAAGGUCAGGGGAGCGAAAGGGAUUAGAUACCCCAGUAGUC